RNAcentral lists this ribosomal RNA (253 nucleotides) under uncultured bacterium. Its description in RNAcentral is "partial 16S ribosomal RNA". It matches the Rfam family "Bacterial small subunit ribosomal RNA", at positions 524 to 776 of the family's 1533-position model. The record is from RNAcentral.
UACGUAGGGAGCAAGCGUUGUCCGGAAUCAUUGGGCGUAAAGAGCGUGUAGGCGGCUAGGUAGGUCCGUUGUGAAAACUCGAGGCUCAACCUCGAGACGCCGAUGGAAACCAUCUGGCUAGAGUCCGGAAGAGGAGAGUGGAAUUCCUGGUGUAGCGGUGAAAUGCGCAGAUAUCAGGAAGAACACCCGUGGCUAAGGCGGCUCUCUAGUACGGUACUGACGCUGAGACGCGAAAGCGUGGGGAGCGAACAGG